Molecule: small RNA, 29 nt
Filed under: Bombyx mori (domestic silkworm)
Lineage: Eukaryota; Metazoa; Arthropoda; Insecta; Lepidoptera; Bombycidae
Description: ovarian small RNA-25193
Source: RNAcentral
UCACCUCCAGGUCCGCCGGCAGGACGUUA